CGGAGGGUGCGAGCGUUAAUCGGAAUUACUGGGCGUAAAGCGUGCGCAGGCGGUUUUGUAAGACAGAUGUGAAAUCCCCGGGCUCAACCUGGGACCUGCAUUUGUGACUGCAAGGCUAGAGUACGGUAGAGGGGGAUGGAAUUCCGCGUGUAGCAGUGAAAUGCGUAGAUAUGCGGAGGAACACCGAUGGCGAAGGCAAUCCCCUGGACCUGUACUGACGCUCAUGCACGAAAGCGUGGGGAGCAAACAGGAUUAGAUACUCUGGUAGUCCACGCCCUAAACGAUGUCAACUGGUUGUUGGGUCUUUACUGACUCAGUAACGAAGCUAACGCGUGAAGUUGACCGCCUGGGGAGUACGGCCGCAAGGUUG
RNAcentral lists this ribosomal RNA (370 nucleotides) under uncultured organism. Its description in RNAcentral is "bacterial SSU rRNA". It matches the Rfam family "Bacterial small subunit ribosomal RNA", at positions 526 to 896 of the family's 1533-position model. The record is from RNAcentral.